AACGGCCAUACCAUGCUGAAUAUACCGGUUCUUGUUAGAUCACCGAAGUCAAGCAUCGUUGGGCGCGGUCAGUACUUGGGUGGGUGACCACUUGGGAACACUGCGUGCCGUU
This 112-nucleotide ribosomal RNA is filed under the name Caerostris extrusa. The record is from RNAcentral. Lineage: Eukaryota; Metazoa; Arthropoda; Arachnida; Araneae; Araneidae.